Molecule: small nuclear RNA, 101 nt
Filed under: Nippostrongylus brasiliensis
Lineage: Eukaryota; Metazoa; Nematoda; Chromadorea; Rhabditida; Heligmosomidae
Source: RNAcentral
AUGUUCAUUUCUGAACAUAUACUGAAAAUUGGAACAAUGCAGAGAAGAUUAGCAUUGCCCCUGCGCAAGGAUGACACGCAAUUUAUUAUAGCCCAACGUUU